GAUGAACGCUGGCGGCGUGCCUAAUACAUGCAAGUCGAGCGAACAGACGAGGAGCUUUCUCCUCUUACGUUAGCGGCGGACGGGUGAUUAACACGUGGAUAACCUACCUAUAAGACUGGGAUAACUUCGGGAAACCGGAUCUAAUACCGGAUAAUAUAUUGAACCGCAUGGUUCAAUAGUGAAAGACGGUUUUGCUGUCACUUAUAGAUGUAUCCGCGUCGCAUUAGCUAGUUGGUAGGGUAAAGGCUUACCAAGGCGACGAUGCGUAGCUGACCUGAGAGGGUGAUCAGCCACACUGGAACUGAGACACGGUCCAGACUCCUACGGGAGGCAGCAGUAGGGAAUAUUGGGCAAUGGGCGAAAGCUUGACGGAGCAACGCCGCGUGAGUGAAGAAGGUCUUCGGAUCGUAAAGCUCUGUUAUUAGGGAAGAACAAAAGUGUAAGUAAAUAUGCACGUCUUGACGGUACCUAAACAGAAAGCAACGGCUAACUACGUG
This 497-nucleotide ribosomal RNA is filed under the name uncultured bacterium. RNAcentral's name for it is "partial 16S ribosomal RNA". It matches the Rfam family "Bacterial small subunit ribosomal RNA", at positions 28 to 507 of the family's 1533-position model. The record is from RNAcentral.